AUCGUCACUGCCAGUAGCACCGAAUCCCCUGUGCACCACCCAUGACUGGAGUGGGUGACCUUCGUCGACCGGUUGAAGACCAAGGGCUACUUCAUCAAACCGCCGCCGGCUGCAGAGGAUGGCGAGACUGACCGCGUUUAUACUGACAUGAAUCAAUUGAGGGAUGCUCGCCUUAGCUUUGCUAGUGACUGGUUUGAUAUAUUCAAGUGGGGUUGUCUGUUAGUGGGGUGCUACUGCUGGCGUUUUUGUGGAUGUUGAAGGCAGUUCUUGAGGAUGAUCCUUGCUAUGCUUAUCCAGCCUAUAAGUGCUAUAGAACUGUUGAAAAGAACAAGCCAGAGAAUGAACAACUUCACUUUUGGUGUCAGUAUUGGAUUUUGGUGGCUGUUUUGACGGUAUGUGAACAAGUUGGUGAUACAAAAAGAAAUUUUAGUAACCCGAGAUUCAACCAGAGGCUUUAAUUUCAUUCAUGGAUUGAUAGAUCUAAUUGCUCUUGCUACUGCUAUUGCUACUACUCCUACUCAUGCUCUUGCUACUGCUACUGCUACUACUAGUGAAAAUGAAGCUGCUACUGAACCAAGAACAUAUUUAGCAACAAAGAAGAAAAAGAAGUUUGACGAAGAGAUCUGAGAUUCUCUCUCUUAGCAACGUGUAAAAGAAAGAGUAUGAGUGCAGUAGC
This is a long non-coding RNA of Rosa chinensis, 676 nucleotides long. RefSeq lists it as uncharacterized. NCBI's taxonomy places the organism in Eukaryota, Viridiplantae, Streptophyta, Magnoliopsida, Rosales, Rosaceae. The transcript has 4 exons. The record is from RefSeq and is a predicted model, not a curated record.